GCAGCGCGGAGCUUGCUCUGGUGGCGAGUGGCGAACGGGUGAGUAAUAUAUCGGAACGUACCCUGGAGUGGGGGAUAACGUAGCGAAAGUUACGCUAAUACCGCAUACGAUCUACGGAUGAAAGUGGGGGAUCGCAAGACCUCAUGCUCGUGGAGCGGCCGAUAUCUGAUUAGCUAGUUGGUAGGGUAAAAGCCUACCAAGGCAUCGAUCAGUAGCUGGUCUGAGAGGACGACCAGCCACACUGGAACUGAAACACGGUCCAGACUCCUACGGGAGGCAGCAGUGGGGAAUUUUGGACAAUGGGCGAAAGCCUGAUCCAGCAAUGCCGCGUGAGUGAAG
This 339-nucleotide ribosomal RNA is filed under the name uncultured Janthinobacterium sp. Its description in RNAcentral is "bacterial SSU rRNA". It matches the Rfam family "Bacterial small subunit ribosomal RNA", at positions 69 to 410 of the family's 1533-position model. Lineage: Bacteria; Pseudomonadati; Pseudomonadota; Betaproteobacteria; Burkholderiales; Oxalobacteraceae. The record is from RNAcentral.